Molecule: ribosomal RNA, 440 nt
Filed under: uncultured bacterium
Lineage: Bacteria
Description: partial 16S ribosomal RNA
Rfam family: Bacterial small subunit ribosomal RNA
Source: RNAcentral
CCUACGGGCGGCAGCAGUGGGGGAUAUUGCACAAUGGGGGAAACCCUGAUGCAGCGACGCCGCGUGUGGGAAGACGGUCCUAUGGAUUGUAAACCACUGUCCCCAGGGACGAAGAUGACGGUACCUGGGGAGGAAGCUCCGGCUAACUACGUGCCAGCAGCCGCGGUACUACGUAGGGAGCGAGCGUUGUCCGGAAUUACUGGGUGUAAAGGGAGCGUAGGCGGGACUGCAAGUUGGGUGUCAAAUCUACCGGCUCAACCGGUAGCCGCACUCAAAACUGCAGUUCUUGAGUGAAGUAGAGGCAGGCGGAAUUCCUAGUGUAGCGGUGAAAUGCGUAGAUAUUAGGAGGAACACCAGUGGCGAAGGCGGCCUGCUGGGCUUUUACUGACGCUGAGGCUCGAAAGUGUGGGGAGCAAACAGGAUUAGAUACCCUUGUAGUC